This 329-nucleotide ribosomal RNA is filed under the name uncultured bacterium. RNAcentral describes it as "partial 16S ribosomal RNA". It matches the Rfam family "Bacterial small subunit ribosomal RNA", at positions 355 to 676 of the family's 1533-position model. The record is from RNAcentral.
UGGGGAAUAUUGCACAAUGGGCGCAAGCCUGAUGCAGCCAUGCCGCGUGUAUGAAGAAGGCCUUCGGGUUGUAAAGUACUUUCAGCGGGGAGGAAGGGAGUAAAGUUAAUACCUUUGCUCAUUGACGUUACCCGCAGAAGAAGCACCGGCUAACUCCGUGCCAGCAGCCGCGGUAAUACGGAGGGUGCAAGCGUUAAUCGGAAUUACUGGGCGUAAAGCGCACGCAGGCGGUUUGUUAAGUCAGAUGUGAAAGCCCCGGGCUCAACCUGGGAACUGCAUCUGAUACUGGCAAGCUUGAGUCUCGUAGAGGGGGGUAGAAUUCCAGGUGU